ACACCUAAAAGAUUUCAGCUAACCCUGACCAUUUUGAGCCAAUUUAAGCCCGCUUAACUAUUAAAUCAA
This 69-nucleotide transfer RNA is filed under the name Petrogale concinna (Nabarlek). RNAcentral's name for it is "tRNA-Val". Lineage: Eukaryota; Metazoa; Chordata; Mammalia; Diprotodontia; Macropodidae. The record is from RNAcentral.